GUAGGUGGCAAGCGUUGUCCGGAUUUAUUGGGUUUAAAGGGUGCGUAGGCGGCCCUGUAAGUCAGUUGUGAAAUACGGCAGCUUAACUGUCGAGGUGCAAUUGAUACUGCAGGGCUUGAGUACUGAUGAGGUAGGCGGAAUGGACGGUGUAGCGGUGAAAUGCUUAGAGAUCGUCCAGAACACCGAUAGCGAAUGCAGCUUACUAAGGAGUAACUGACGCUGAGGCACGAAAGUGUGGGGAUCAAACAGGAUUAGAUACCCUGGUAGUCCACACUGUAAACGAUGAUUACUCGAUGUUGGCGAUACACAGCCAGCGUCUUAGCAAAAGCGAUAAGUAAUCCACCUGGGGAGUACGCCGGCAACGGUG
This 367-nucleotide ribosomal RNA is filed under the name uncultured bacterium. Its description in RNAcentral is "bacterial SSU rRNA". It matches the Rfam family "Bacterial small subunit ribosomal RNA", at positions 527 to 896 of the family's 1533-position model. The record is from RNAcentral.